This 1252-nucleotide ribosomal RNA is filed under the name Epidapus absconditus. RNAcentral describes it as "eukaryotic LSU rRNA". It matches the Rfam family "Eukaryotic large subunit ribosomal RNA", at positions 682 to 1787 of the family's 3401-position model. Lineage: Eukaryota; Metazoa; Arthropoda; Insecta; Diptera; Sciaridae. The record is from RNAcentral.
GUGUGCGAGUCAUUGGGUAUUUUGUUGAAACCUAAGGGCGCAAUUAAAAUAACUAUUUUAUGGGAUUACAAGUGAAUUAAAUUUCAUUUCUCCAUCCCGGGGCGUUCUAUACGAACAUGGUUUAAGCAAUUGAACCCUCUGUUCAAGAGCGUACCUUGAGCAUACAUGCUGUGACCCGAAAGAUGGUGAACUAUACCUGAUCAGAUCGAAGCCAGGAGAAAUUCUGGUGGAGGAUCGAAACAGUUCUGACGUGCAAAUCGAUUGUCAGAAUUGGGUAUAGGGGCGAAAGACCAAUCGAACCAUCUAGUAGCUGGUUCCCUCCGAAGUUUCCCUCAGGAUAGCUGGCGCAAAUAAUUAUAUUUUAUAUAAUCUUAUCUGGUAAAGCGAAUGAUUAGAGGCCUUGGGGCCGAAACGACCUCAACCUAUUCUCAAACUUUAAAUGGGUAAGAACCUCAUCUUUCUUGAUCUGAAGAUAUUGGGGUUUAGAUAUAUUGUGCCCAGUGGGCCACUUUUGGUAAGCAGAACUGGCGCUGUGGGAUGAACCAAACAUGAUGUUACGGCGCCUAAAUUAAUGACUCAUAUUGAUACCAUGAAAGGCGUUGGUUGCUUAAAACAGCAGGACGGUGGACAUGGAAGUCGUAAUCCGCUAAGGAGUGUGUAACAACUCACCUGCCGAAGCAACUAGCCCUUAAAAUGGAUGGCGCUCAAGUCAUAUGCCUAUACAUCAUCGCUAGAAUAAAAAUUGUUGGCCAUUUUUGGUCAUCAUUAUGAAAUUCUAGUGAGUAGGAGGGUACAAUGGUGUGCGCAGAAGUGUUUGGCGUGAGCCUGCAUGAAGCCGCCAUUGGCACAGAUCUUGGUGGUAGUAGCAAAUAAUCGAAUGAGAUCUUGGAGGACUGAAGUGGAGAAGGGUUUCGUGUGAACAGUGGUUGAUCACGAGUUAGUCGGUCCUAAGCUUUAUGCGAAAGCUGUUUAAUUUAUGUUACACACAAAUAUACUAUUUUAUUGUUGUACAUAAUUCAAUAAAAGCGAAAGGGAAUACGGUUCCAAUUCCGUAACCUGUUGAGUAUACGUUUGUUUAUUAAAAAUGGGUCUUAUUACACUCAUCCUGGCAACAGGAACGACCAUAGAGAAGCCUUCGAGAGAUACUGGAAGAGUUUUCUUUUCUGCUAAACAAACGUAUCACCAUGGAAGUCUUUUAUAGAGAGAUAUGGUGGAUGGCUUGGAAGAGCAUGACAUUUACUGUUGUGUCAGU